Molecule: long non-coding RNA, 613 nt
Filed under: Sarcophilus harrisii (Tasmanian devil)
Lineage: Eukaryota; Metazoa; Chordata; Mammalia; Dasyuromorphia; Dasyuridae
Description: lncRNA (ENSSHAG00000023011.1)
Source: RNAcentral
CUGGGUGACAGCGGCGCGGGAAAAGUAUCUUUGGAGAGGCCCCCGCUGGAAAAACUCCCCGCUCCUGGGACUCUGGCCCCCGCCACACUGAAGCUGUCACUUCAGGCCUAGGCUUCGCCCAAGUCAUUCCCCUCCCCCUCCCGCUAUCCUAACCGGUGAUUGGGGAGACUACCGGAAGCUUCCGGCCGCCAUCUUGGACACCCAAGGGGAGGUAUCCAGCACAUAGUUGGAUAUAUGGGAUUUGAGCUGGAAGAGAGUCAAAUACCAGGGAAAGCACAAGUAUCUAGAUACAAUGAGAUGGUCUUGAGUAGUGGAAAAUACAGAGCAUUUAAGAAGAAUAAAGUCUAAAAAAAGGCCACUGGAUUUACCAAAUGGACCCAGGAAGGAGUAGUUUCAAUUGAGUAGUGGAACGGAAGCAAUUUUGAAAAGGACCAGCUCAAACAAAAGGGAAGAAUCUGGGAAGUAAUGCUGAGUUGAUUUGAAUUGGAACUGGAGAGAAGAGAAGAAACUCAAGAUUUAAUUUUUCUGCAAAUUCUGAGUUUUAAUGAGACAGUGUCUGAAAACACUCCUGAGACUUUUUGCUGGGAAAAGUGCUACAAAGAUGAAAGGUAUU